AUGUCCUGAGCCGCAAGUGUCAGGGAGGGAACCAUGUCACACGAAUAACUCUUGGCUGUACAGAGACAAGAAUAAAAGCUUUUCCCCGUGCUUGGCCAUUGGCCAGCUUCGCUCUGGAAGUCCUGGAUCCAGAAGCCUUGGCACUGGAAGCCGUGUGAGUGUGUGUGUAUGUGUGUCUCCAUGUGUCUCUGUGUGUGUAUCUGUGUGGAGUAUGUGUCUGUGUGUAUGUGUCUCUGUGUGAGUGUGUGUCUGUGUGUGUCUCUGUGUGAGUGUGUGUGUCUCUGUGUGUGUGUGUCUCCAUGUGUCUCUGUGUGUGUGUGUGUGUCUGUGUGUGAGUGUGUGUGUAUCUGUGUGGAGUAUGUGUCUGUGUGUAUGUGUCUCUGUGUGAGUGUGUGUCUGUGUCUGUGUGAGUGUGUCUCUGUGUGAGUGUGUGUGUCUCUGUGUGUGUGUCUGUGUGUGUCUCUCUGUGUGUGUUUUCCAUCGCUGCCACCCCACUGCUCCUGUCUAGAGAUUUAGGGCUUCCAGGCCAGGAGGAGCAGAAGUCCCAGGACUGAUGCCACUCGAAGUUCAUCGGAUCCACACCAUUCAGUUAAGAGUGUCUGGAGAGGAGGUGAGGCAGAGGAGGUGGGCAGAGCAUGUCUGCAUCUGGGUUUCCCUGGGAAUAGUGAGUCAAACAGACACAGGAAUGUCCUUCGCACUGGGAGAGAUGGGAGGCCUCUCAUCGGGUAACCUUCCCUAUGUGCCUGUCGCCCCAUUUAAGGUAGUUGCUUUGAUUCUAGCCUUGUGUGUAUACCUGUUAGAACAAAUAUGGAUGUGUGGAUGGGCCCAUUAAAGCCUGAAUGUAGUGAGAAUAAAGGUCACAAAGAACUCAAUUUUCACCCCCUUUUUGGAAGUUCUGUGACCAUUCUGUAACUGUUCAGAGCUGGCAGCUUUGUAGAGACAAGCAUGCUUGCUAGAACUGGUCCUCAGAGAAAGUACAUUCUUAGCGUGGCUAGGUUGUGGGUCAGCAGUGGAUAGAAGAGUCUAAAUCCAAGGGGCAGGAAGCCUCCGGCAGAAUUAUACCAGAGAGGCUGGAAUCCAGGGUCCCUUAAACGAAAGCGAAGGCUGAGCUCCUCUGGUGUGUUUGCAGCUAUGUGCGUACUUGGGCAAACUGGAAAGCUGUUGAUCCUGGCUUCGUGACGUACACAGUCUGGUGACGAAACCAGAUUCUGAGUCAGUAAGCCAGGGAAGCACAAGCAUUGUGGUGUGUGGUCAUAUGUUUGUGUGUAUGUGUGUUGGAGGGUACUAGUUACAGUUUGGGUUUAGAGGGAGCCUCUUCAAGGAAGUUUUCUUCUGGCUGAUAUCAAAUGGGAACCAGAUGGAGUGGAGUCUGAAAAGCAGAUAUGUGGAGUCUGGAUCGGUAGAUGCUGAGAUCCUGUGUUGAGUCAUGGGAGAAAUAACAGCCACAGCUGCCAUCCUUAAGUCGACUCAGAGGUCACUUCCUCCUCAUCAGGGAAGACUUCUGGAUCGGCGAGGCUCCCACUUACUCACUCAGCUGGCAGAGCAACGCUGACCCCUUGGAGAUCCAGUAAUCACUGAUCCUCUUGGAGGCAAGUCACUCUUCAGGAGUUCUUUCCCUUCUGUGGCUGUCUACGGGGCCACUGAGAAGAAGAUGGUGCCCUCGGAUGGCGAUGGCUCCUUCUGCACCACUCUCUCAGAUUCCAUCGGUGUGGAAUGGACAUCAGGGAAGGCAGCCUCGGACCCAGCAGAGGGUGCCUCUACCUUUUCACCUUUCUGGCCCAUUGGAUUCCUGGCUUUCCAGUGCCACAGCAUGGCAAGCCGCUCUAGACACCUUCCCUGUGUAUUUACUGGUUUUAUGCAGUCCAGAAAUUUGUCUCCAUGCUUCUAUGGGUGCCGGCCCAAUGCAGGCAAUCAGUGCCUGGAGUAUGUGAGGCCUUCCCUGGGUCUGGAGGAAGACUCAGGAUACAACUAAACCCCUGCAUCCACUGACUGGGUUUAAGCAGAAUCAAUUCCCUGUUGGCCAGAAAUGAGUGUAGCUGCCUUCCAAAAUCCCCUCCCACUCAACCUCCCGGCGCCCUACUAAGGGAUUUACUGUCCAAUCUGCUUGGCUCACAGUUAGACAAGAAGCACCUCCAAGGGGUAGAUGAUUGGGACAGACAUGUGUGUGUGUCUCAUGUCACGUGCCCUACGCCGACAUCCUGGAGGGCUGAUGUCAGAGGUCUUGUGCUUCUGACAAACAGGAUGGCCAUGACACACAUGCUGUGUAGUGGACUGCCGUUCAAGAAAGCAAAGGCUGGCUGCUUACUACAGAGGGAUGGAGCGUGACUGGAAGGUUAAGGACAGUGCUGGGCAGGCAUAGACAUGUGGAUCUCUAUGAGCUGGAGGCCCAGCUUGGACUACGUGGCAGGUUCCAAACUGCCAGGGCUACGUAGUGAUAGUGAGACCGGCUCAAAACAGAUGGAUGGAUGAAUGAGAAAGAAAAGGAUGCAGAAAUAAAGGCUGUGUUCCCACAGAA
Long non-coding RNA from Mus musculus (house mouse), 2515 nucleotides. RefSeq annotates it as predicted gene, 20560. The record is from RefSeq and is a predicted model, not a curated record. The transcript has 3 exons. Lineage: Eukaryota; Metazoa; Chordata; Mammalia; Rodentia; Muridae.